RNAcentral lists this ribosomal RNA (253 nucleotides) under uncultured bacterium. Its description in RNAcentral is "partial 16S ribosomal RNA". It matches the Rfam family "Bacterial small subunit ribosomal RNA", at positions 524 to 776 of the family's 1533-position model. The record is from RNAcentral.
UACAGAGGGUGCAAGCGUUGUUCGGAAUUACUGGGCGUAAAGCGCGUGUAGGCGGCGUCGUUAGUCGGAUGUGAAAGCCCUCGGCUCAACCGAGGAAGUGCAUCCGAUACUGCGAUGCUUGAGUGUUGGAGGGGGUGGCGGAAUUCCCGGUGUAGAGGUGAAAUUCGUAGAUAUCGGGAGGAACACCAGUGGCGAAGGCGGCUACCUGGCCCAUUCUUGACGCUGAGGCGCGAAAGCUAGGGGAGCAAACGGG